UGGCCGUGAUGACAAGAAUCAUUUCUCGAUCCUGACUAAAGAUAGGACCUUUGAGAUUUUUGUAUGAUUUUUAAUUAUAUUCAUGUCUCUUUGUGAUGAGCUUUUGUGCGUGUCUGAGCCGU
This 122-nucleotide small nucleolar RNA is filed under the name Amborella trichopoda. RNAcentral describes it as "small nucleolar RNA snoR126". It matches the Rfam family "small nucleolar RNA snoR126". The record is from Rfam by way of RNAcentral. Lineage: Eukaryota; Viridiplantae; Streptophyta; Magnoliopsida; Amborellales; Amborellaceae.